UGCCAGCAGCCGCGGUAAUACGGAGGGUGCAAGCGUUAAUCGGAAUUACUGGGCGUAAAGCGCGCGUAGGCGGAAUGUUAAGUCUCAUGUGAAAGCCCUGGGCUCAACCUGGGAACUGCACCCAAUACUGCAGAGCUAGAGUAUGGUAGAGGGAAGUGGAAUUUCCGGUGUAGAGGUGAAAUGCGUAGAUAUCGGAAGGAACACCGGUGGCGAAGGCGACUUCCUGGGCCAAUACUGACGCUGAGGCGCGAAAGCGUGGGUAGCAAACAGGAUUAGAUA
This 279-nucleotide ribosomal RNA is filed under the name uncultured bacterium. RNAcentral's name for it is "partial 16S ribosomal RNA". It matches the Rfam family "Bacterial small subunit ribosomal RNA", at positions 506 to 784 of the family's 1533-position model. The record is from RNAcentral.